GUAGGGGGCAAGCGUUGUCCGGAAUCAUUGGGCGUAAAGCGCGUGUAGGCGGCCAGGUAGGUCUGCUGUGAAAACUCGAGGCUCAACUUCGAGAUGUCGGCGGAAACCAUCUGGCUAGAGUCCGGAAGAGGAGAGUAGAAUUCCUGGUGUAGCGGUGAAAUGCGCAGAUAUCAGGAGGAAUACCCGUGGCGAAAGCGGCUCUCUGGGACGGUACUGACGCUGAGACGCGAAAGCGUGGGGAGCAAACAGGAUUAGAUACCCUGGUAGUCCACGCCGUAAACGAUGGGUGCUAGGUGUGGGCGGUGUCGACUCCGUCCGUGCCGAAGCUAACGCAUUAAGCACCCCGCCUGGGGAGUACGGCCGCAAGGCUAAA
Molecule: ribosomal RNA, 373 nt
Filed under: uncultured bacterium
Lineage: Bacteria
Description: bacterial SSU rRNA
Rfam family: Bacterial small subunit ribosomal RNA
Source: RNAcentral